CUCUGGGUGGUGUAAACGAUUAACACAUUUGGCUGGUAACCAAAAGGUUGGAGGUUUGAGUCCACUCAGAGG
RNAcentral lists this transfer RNA (72 nucleotides) under Loxodonta africana (African savanna elephant). It matches the Rfam family "tRNA". From Rfam's summary of the family: Transfer RNA (tRNA) molecules are approximately 80 nucleotides in length. Their secondary structure includes four short double-helical elements and three loops (D, anti-codon, and T loops). Further hydrogen bonds mediate the characteristic L-shaped molecular structure. tRNAs have two regions of fundamental functional importance: the anti-codon, which is responsible for specific mRNA codon recognition, and the 3' end, to which the tRNAs corresponding amino acid is attached (by aminoacyl-tRNA synthetases). tRNAs cope with the degeneracy of the genetic code in two manners: having more than one tRNA (with a specific anti-codon) for a particular amino acid; and 'wobble' base-pairing, i.e. permitting non-standard base-pairing at the 3rd anti-codon position. The record is from Rfam by way of RNAcentral. Lineage: Eukaryota; Metazoa; Chordata; Mammalia; Proboscidea; Elephantidae.